Molecule: non-coding RNA, 69 nt
Organism: Ameiurus melas (black bullhead)
Lineage: Eukaryota; Metazoa; Chordata; Actinopteri; Siluriformes; Ictaluridae
Source: the annotation of a GenBank genome assembly
GUGGUAGCUCAGUGGUUAUUGUGUUGGACUUCUGAUCGGAAGGUUGUGAAUUCAAAUCCCAGCACCACA